UACGGAGGGUGCAAGCGUUAUCCGGAUUUACUGGGGUUAAAGGGUGCGUAGGUGGAUUUGUAAGUCAGUGGUGAAAUCUCCGAGCUUAACUCGGAAACUGCCAUUGAUACUAUAAGUCUUGAAUUAUCUGGAGGUAAGCGGAAUAUGUCAUUUAGCGGUGAAAUGCUUAGAUAUGACAUAGAACACCAAUUGCGAAUGCAGCUUACUACGGAUCGAUUGACACUGAGGCACGAAAGCGUGGGGAUCAACCAGG
This 253-nucleotide ribosomal RNA is filed under the name uncultured bacterium. RNAcentral's name for it is "partial 16S ribosomal RNA". It matches the Rfam family "Bacterial small subunit ribosomal RNA", at positions 524 to 776 of the family's 1533-position model. The record is from RNAcentral.